UAGCUGCUGAGGAAUGCUGGGAGAACCUGGUGGCCUGUGUUUGCUUUGAUAUGUUAAUAGGUACUUCAGACAUUUGUGACAGUUUUGAGUUUGUGACAGUUUUGAGACUUGGACACUACCCGCGUUCCUUCCUUCCUUCCUUCCUUCCUUCCUUCCUUCCUUCCUUCCUUCCUUCCNNNNNNNNNNCUCUUCCUUCUUCCUCUACCCCCUCCCUCGCCCCUUUCUACUUUUCUUUAGGGUUCCUUUCUUUCUUCCCUCUUUGAUCUGUCCUUUCCGUCCCUCCUCCACUUUUCUCUGGGUUCCAGGGAUUGAGCACUGACCCUGAGCAUGAUCAAACUGUAUCUGGAAGGGCGUUGUCUGUGCUUGCUUGGCUGUGUCUCUGCUGCCCCUGAGCUCAUGAAAUAUAAAGGACCUCCUGAGGGAAUGUCUGUUCCUCACGCCAGUGCAAGGCAAGCAGGAAAGCCCUGUGCAAAACUAUGAAGCAGAGGAAGUCAGAGUUUGAGAAAACACCUCAAGCUUCUCCUUACACUUUGGUAUGACUGUAAAAUACAGCGUUCUCUCCACAAGGGAAGCUCCCUCGCCUCUUUAAGGACACUCAUGAGUGCCUUACACCUGCUCCCCUCUAUAAUUCAUCACUUGCAGGUUAGUAUCCACGAGCGUGUUGAUCAAGUUCUCUUUUUGUAUCAUUUCUUGAUUUGUAACUUUAAUAUUUUUAUUUCACUUUUUGUUAUUUGUAUUCAAUAUCUCAUGUUUUUUAGAAACCAUUGCUUUUAUGAAAAUUUGGGAGGUGGAACCUUUGAACUCUGCUCUUGUGGGCAGGAUAGUGAUACUAUAGACAUUGCUGCUGGGAGAGGAUUCUUUCUCCUGCCCUUUGCUCCCUACCAUGCAUGCUUUCUGGAGCAAUCAAUUUGAAGGACUGAAUUUUGACAGGUGAUUCCCCAAGGACUUUUGUACACCUUGGGAAUAUGAACCAGCCACUGACUUUAGGUUUGUGAUUUCCAAACCUGUGGAAUGCCUUGUUUAUAUGCAUAUAAGACUCUGCUAGGCAACCACAAACAAGAAAAGUUUACUCCAGCAGCAAUGAAAUAAAUAGCACAUUAUACAAAGUGGG
This 1111-nucleotide long non-coding RNA is filed under the name Mus spicilegus (steppe mouse). Its description in RNAcentral is "lncRNA (ENSMSIG00000013678.1)". Lineage: Eukaryota; Metazoa; Chordata; Mammalia; Rodentia; Muridae. The record is from RNAcentral.